Molecule: long non-coding RNA, 17255 nt
Filed under: Medicago truncatula (barrel medic)
Lineage: Eukaryota; Viridiplantae; Streptophyta; Magnoliopsida; Fabales; Fabaceae
Description: long non-coding RNA (MTRU_LNC003042)
Source: RNAcentral
AAGAAGAUGGUGGAAAAUAUCAAACCGUCCCCUCCAUCACAAUUACUAAAAUACAAAGGUCUAGAUCAGAUCAAACAAUAUUUGCAAAAUUUCGGCUACCUCGAACAAUCUGGGCCGUUCAAUAACACUCUAGACCAAGAAACAGUCUUAGCCCUUAAGACCUACCAACGAUAUUUCAAUAUCUAUGCAGGCCAAGAUAGCUUACGCAAAAUUUUACAACAUAUAGCAUUACCACGAUGUGGUGUUCCUGAUAUGAAUUUCACGUACGACUCCACCAAUGAUAUAUCGUAUCCGAAAGGAAACCAAUGGUUUCCUAAGGGAACGAAAAAUCUUACCUAUGGUUUUGCUCCCAAAAAUGAAAUCCCACUCAAUGUGACCAACGUGUUUAGAAAAGCCUUGACACGAUGGUCGCAGACCACUAGGGUCUUAAAUUUCACAGAGACGACAUCAUACGAUGAUGCUGACAUUAAGAUUGUGUUCAACAAUAUGACUUACGAUGAUGGAAUCUAUGAUGUUGUCGUGGCUGUCACUCUUAUCAAACUUGAUUCAGCGAAUAUGAACACGGGUUUGAUAAGUCUGGACAUUACAAAGCACUGGGUGUUUCCAACUGAGGACGGAGAAUUGGAUUUGGAGACCGCCGCGAUGCAUCAGAUAGGUCAUCUGUUAGGACUUGAACAUUCUUCUGAUAGCAAGUCUAUUAUGUAUCCAACUAUAUUGCCAUCACAGCAAAAGAAGGUGCAGAUAACAGAUUCAGAUAACUUAGCAAUCCAAAAACUCUAUUCCAGCUCUACAAAAGCCAAUGCAAACUCGGAUGAUAGUAGUGGGUGCUUUAAACUUUCUGGGUCUAGUUCUAGCCUCUUUAUCUCUUUGUCCAUUGUAUUUGCUUUUGUGGCUCUGUUGAACUAGCAUUUAAAUUAUGUCAUUUGAUUAGAGUCUUUUUUUUACAUAAGUUUAAUAAUUAAUGUGUAAUCAAUUACACAUUUGGGAAGAAAAAAAAUUGUCUUGUGGUUUAAUGAUAAAUAAAAUUUUUAGUUUUUGUUAUGUUGUUUGCCUUCGGUUUAUCAAGUUGUUGAAAUAGUUUUACAAUCAAACACAAUACAAUUGAUGUUGUCAUGUCCAACCCAUUAAAAACACUUAUUGUAAUUUUUUAUUGAAAAACAAUAAUUAUUUAUUAAAAGGUAUUAUAUUUAAUAGAAAAUGUUCAAAUUUCAAUACAAAUUUACUAUUUUGAAUUUCUUGACAUGUGUAAAUUUAAACAUGAUAGAAAAAACUCAUCUAUUAUACCUUUUGAUGAUUAAGAAUCCAUUUCACAUGCUAUCCCAUAAACACUGCUUCUUACCCAAUCAUUAACAUCAUUUAGUAAUGAUUUCACAAAUAUGGAAAGGAAGAUAUCCAGCUCUUCUUGAAAAUUGUUUUAAGGUCCUUAAACUGUUCAGUGCUGCUGAAUUGUAUUAAUGUCAAGUCCCUUCAUGCUUCACCACUAAUUCUACAUGUCCCUUUAGAGUAUGAAGUUCCCUAAGCCUGUCACCCAUUUUAAAAAAAUUGUUAAAGGAACCUUACUUAUCAACCAUGCAAUAAUAUCCCCCAAUAUAAUUGCCACUUGCUAAACAUAUUUUUUUGGUAAUAACUUGAUGCUUGGCUUGUUUUGCAGUCUCCUAAAGUACCCAAUUGUUAUUCUUUUCAUUGUUCUUUGUAGUAAAGGUAGUUUGUGAUGAGAGAAGCAUGAACAUGAUUAGAUCACAUUGAUUCAACCAUAUGAUAUCAUAUUGAUUUUACUUGGAAAGGCAUUUUAAUAUAUCAUAUUGAUUUUACUUUGAGGGUUGCUCAAUCCAAGGCCCGUUCAUUACAUUCAAUAUACUGCAUGCCUCGCUAUAUUGAAGAUCUGGCAACAGCUUUGAUGUAAGUAAGAAACACCUACAUACGAUUAAUCAUCACUUACGCGUUAGAAAUUAAUGUGGGGGAACAAAGCCCAGCAGUGGCUGGCAAAUCUGCAAAGAUCAACCUUCAUUUCCAAGUUAGAACGAAUGCCAAGCAUCACAUUCAAAAUAUAUGGGCUUUUUUGCCUCACAUAUAUUACUCUUAUUAGUGUUUCGUCUAUGUGUACUGGGUUACAGGCUCGGCCCUAGUUAAUCCAAUAACUCUUACAGCAUUUCACUCUUUCAAGCUUCAUGCUUGGCCCAUAUCGUCAUUAUUGCCUAAGCCCAUUGGCCAAACUAAAGAGCCCAUCAUCCGAGACCUAUACACUCCUAAUGUGGGGAGCAAGGUCCCAGGCCCUAAGCGAAAUUUAGGAGCAAACAGGAUAUACUUUAGGAACAAGCAAGAAACCCUGAAAUUCUCCUAUAUAUAUAGGGGUCACUAGCUAACCCAAUUCUCAUCUACUUCCUACCCGCCUCAUACACAGUGUACAAGGCCUAGUGAACGGCUCAUCGUAGGCUAGGUCAGACAUCAGUCUAAGCAAGAACACCAUGCAUGCAUUAAAGAGUGUUUCUCUUCAAGCUGAUGUGAUGUGACACCAGCCAGUUGAUAUAUAUAGCCAUUGUUUAUCCUCCUUUAGUUCAAAAGUCUUAAAAAAUGAAAAUACGGUCUUUUACUGACUGAAUUAGGUAUUAACAUGCAUUUAUCAAGUUUUAAUAUCAAAUUUUAAACAAAGGAACCAAAAAGAUCAAGUAAUAGUAGUUAGUAGUACUCGCUGUGGCGUAUUUGGCUUGCUUGCUGCUCUCACUAGUUGCUGAAACAUCUUCCUCUCAUUUAUUGGGUCCAUCCCUGAUGAAAAUAGAGUCAAAGAUCAUUUCAGUUCUGAGCCGUUAAUCCUGAAAGGAUUUACUUCAAAGAAUAACCAACCUUGAUUGAUCUCAUCCACAAAUCAAAAUGGGCAGUUUGUAGGAUCUUGAAGGGAAACAAGAUAAACAAUAGUUGAAACUGAUCGCUCCUGGAUAACCAAAAUUAGAGGUUAAUUAGUGAGAGUGGCGGUGGGGGAGCACAAGUUUUGUACCGCAUACAACUACAAUAAGUAGUGUACAGUACAUAAAUUUAUGAAAGCAAAUAUUUCAUAACAAGUUUUGUACGGUACACAAAUCUAUGCAUUCAAAGUUUUGCCCUUUGUUUCUAGCAGGUGUAUGUGUCUUACAGUAUUUUCUUUUCCUGUUUUUCCGACACUUAUUUUGUUGCCGAGUUAUGCCAACGAUGUUUUCACUGUUUAGUCUUAGAGUCCUGUUUCCUGAGCUUGCUGUUUGUUAUUUUUUCUGGAAUUUCUUGUUGAAUAUUUUUGCUGUUUUAUAUUCUGUUUGAGAAGGAUUUCACAGCAACAGAAAUAGAGAUGACAGAGACAGAUUUAAAAGAAGGGACUUUGACCACUGCAGGUACAGCAGCACCCUGUCUACGCCUCAUUCCGCUGUUUCAGAGCAGCGUUUUCCACAGUCUAAUGCAGCCAAUAUUGCGAGAUCAUAGUGAUGCUGUGAUCCUUAGUCCCACCCUAGCUAGUCGUAGCCCAGUGUGGCCAUUCCCUCGCCAUCUGUGGCCUCUCAUAACGAUUACAUUAAUCAUAAUAGUCAGACUGAUAUCAACAACUAUGUAGGCUUAGGCGGGGUUUCCCUCUUAACAAUGAAGUUGACUACUAACCAGAAGUUACAACAACCAAUAAUAAGAAUGAACAGUAACCACUUAAAAGUACAUUCUUAGAAACAGAAUAAACAAAAUAACUGGUUCAGAAUAACACUCACCUGAAUUUGACUUUUAUAAGUAUUCCAAAUUGAUCAAAAUCCAUAUCAUUCAUUAUCGGUGUUGUCUUAUAGUGCAAGAAAAUUCAACCAUAAAAAGAAAAAACUUCAGCAAUUUAAAGAAAAACUCCAAAGAUCGUUCAUUAUCAGUGUUGUCUUACGGUGCAAGAAAAUUCAACUGAAAAAAACAAAAACUUCAGCAAUUUGAAGCAAAACUCCAAGGAUCAUUCAUUAUCAGUGUUGUCUUACUGUGCAAGAAAAUUCAACCAGAAAAAGCAAAAAAACUUGACAAUUUGAAGCAAAACUCCAAAGAUCAUUCAUUAUCAGUUGGUGGGUGACCAUUUCUUUCUGCUAAAAUAUUUUUCUAUGAUUCUCAAUUAAAAUUUUGUGCAGCCGCGCAGUCCAUUAUCAAAUUGACAAGUGGAAUUACUUCAUCAAUCUGUAUAUAUAAUACAUACACUCAGCUUAGCUAUGUAUUAAUUAACAUGAUGAAGUUAUAUCAAUUUGAAUUGCUCUUAUUCCUUCUCCUUAUCAUUGACAAUACAACCCUUUCACAAAAAAUUUCUCCUAAAAUUGUCUCUUCUAUUCUCAAACCAAUAUUGAAGGAGGUUAGACAACAAGCUACUGAGUAUGCAUUGAAGAAGUCAUUGGACAAGAUCACACAAUCUCCUACUCCAGAGCAACAAGCCGAAGUGAUACAAGGCCUAUAUCAAAUCAAACAAUAUUUGUACUAUUUCGGCUACCUCCAACAAUAUGGGCCAUUCAAUAAUGUUCUAGACCAACAAACAAUGUCAGCCAUUAAGAUCUACCAACAAAAUUUCAAUCUCCAAGUUACUAAUGGCUACCUAAACACUGAGACUUCACAACAAAUCUUGUUACCACGAUGUGGUGUUCCUGAUAUGAAUUUCGAGUACAGCUUCACCAAUGAUAAGUCGUUUCCCAAAGGAAACAAGUGAUUUACUAAGGAAAAAGAAUAUCUUACCUAUGCUUUUGCUCUGACGAGCCAAAUCCCACUCGACAUGACCAACGUUUCACACGAUGGUCACAAACCACUAGGGUCCUAAUUUAGCGAGACGACAUCAUACGAUGAUGCUGACAUUAAGAUUAGAUUCUACAAUAUUAAUUACAUCGAUGGGGUUGAUGAUGUUGUGGUGGGUGACGCGGUUAUCAAACUCGGUUCGAAUGUGAAUUCAGGUUUGAUACGCCUGAUUGCUUCAAAGUACUGGGUGUUGCCAACUGACAACUACAUGUGGUCAUGGCAGAACGGAGAAUUUGAUUUGGAGACGGCGGCAAUGUAUCAGAUAGGUCAUCUUCUAGGACUUGAUCACUCUUUCGAUAAGGAGUCUGUUAUGUAUCCAGCCAUAUUGCCAUUACAACAAAGGAAGCUGCACAUAACAGAUUCAGAUAACCAAGCCAUACAACAAAUCUAUUCCAAUGCGAACUCUGACAAUGGUGGGUGCUUCACAAUGUUUGGAUCCAGUUCUGGUCUCCUUACCUCUUUGUUCCUUGGAUUUGCUUUUGUGGCUCUCUUGAACUAGCAUCUUAAAUUAUCCUUUAAUUUUGGAUAUGCUUUUUUAAUUUGUGUAAUACUUUACUUCAUGUGCCAUUUUUCGUUAAUGCUAAUUAUGUUACGGUAUCCACUACUCUCUUAUAAUGAAGUACAAAAAUUACAUUAUUUAUGCGCAAAUCCUUCAACCACCUUAUCGCAUAUGACACACCUAAAGCUUCUCCUUCAUCAACUUUAAGGAUGGGUGAAAUCCAUUUUGUUUUUGCUAAAACGAAGCUUCCUUGAUCGUCCCUGAUGCAUAUACCAAUGCCAACUCUAUUAGUUGCCGUUGAGAAUGCUGCACCGACGUUGCAUUUAUAUCUUCCUCUGUCUGGCUUCUUCCACGUGUGAUUGGAAAUAUGUUGCUGCUGUAUCAUCAUCGUUCCACUACGACACACCUGCGCAUUUUGCCAACAGAUUUGUUCCCCUUGCACAUACUGCCACCGUAAAUUAUUUCACUCCUCCAUAUCAGAUAAUUCAUUUGCUUCCAAAUUGACCAAAUAGUGCAACCAAACACAGCUUGAAGAUUCUUACUUAAUUUGUGUAAAACGUUGAAAAUCAAAGAACUCACACUUAGCUCAUCUUGUAUCAACGGUUGAAUUACUUGUCCAAUGGCCAAUAUGUUGCCAACAAAAACUGUUGUUGGAGCAAUGAAAAAAGAUAUGCAUGCUGACUUCCAUUCCACCAUCACACAAAACACAAUUAUACAGACAGUUGACACCGCAGUCGUGACUUCUUACCCUUGUAGGUAAACAGUUUCGACAAAACCGCCAGAGAUUCUUGACUUUUAAUUGAGCUUGGAUAAAGAUUCUUGACUUUUAGGUGAGCUUGGAUAUUCCAGAUUUGAUUCUAGUUGUCUUCUACUCUAUGAUUAUUCAAUGCAAGAACUUGCUGCAAACUAAUAUGAUAGCCACUCCUAACAGAAUAUAUACCAUAUGUCUCAAAUUUCCAGAUUCUCCUAUCAGUUUGAAUAAAACCGGUGUUUGUAGAAUUCGCUGUAAAUCAACAUUGGUUACCAAGCUUUGAAGUGAUUUAAUAUUCUACACCCUCAAUUUGAGCAUUCCAAAAGUCUGCAAUUGUAAAGCUGUUAAGCUCUUCAGGAAAGUCUGCAGGUUUGUCAAUUGCAUUACCGUCAACUAGCCAAUUUUGAUCCCAAAACGGAAUAGUUUCGCCUGAAUCGAUACUCCACUUUUUUUUUAUCCGAUACUCCACUUAUAUCUAUCUUUGACCCCAAAUACUACGCCAAACGUAACUUGGGUUGUAUCCACUAUAAAUAGCAAACAUGCUUGCGGAGAAAAAACAUCAUGCUCAGAGUCAUUUUCAUCCACAAACAACCAAUAAAAAAUGCAACACAACUCAUUUAUUACUCAUCCUUCAGGCUCAAACUUUCUCUUCACUUAGUCUCACCAAAGUUCUCUCAAGUGUUCAAUUGUUAAGCAAUUCACUCAAAUUCUAGGUCAUGCAUCCGCCUACCAUAGGAUUGAAAAAAAUUCUUUACAGCAUAAAAAAUAUAACAUGGUUAAGGAGUAUAUUGUAUAAAAACCCAUAUAAAACACUAAAAAGGUUAAUAUAAAAAAAUACAUCUAAAGUUAAACUAGAAACAACUAAUAAAUAUAAUUAAUACAUUAUAUGUUACAAAUACAAACCUUACUGUUGUAUCUUGACGAAGAAAAAGAACCUCACCGUUGUACAAGCAAUAGUAGCAACAACGGUUUUAAUCCUCAUAACAGCAUAAACAAAUAGGAAAGAUAUUUUUACAUUCUUAUAGGUACACAUUCAAUCCAAUCAAUGAAACAAAAGCAAGUUCACCCGAUUGCAGGCUAAAACUUUCUCCAAAAAACUAUACAAAAUGCUAAAUAAGCGCUAUUGCUCUGCAUCGCUGCAACUCCAUAGUGUUUUUUUUACUUUAACAUGAAAUCUCUCCAACAUGUCCAGUGAUAAUACUCCAUCGAUCACCAGUAGUCCAGGCUGAUUUACAACGAAAAAAUGUAUGGUAAGCAAUAUCAACAGUUAAAGAAAGAGAAUAUAUGCAGUUUUCAGUAUGAGAAAUUACCCUUCGAGGGCUUCUCAAUCCAAGGGCCAUUCAUUACAUUCAAUAUACUGCAUGCCUCACUAUAUUGCAGAUCUGGUAACAGCUUUGGUGUAAGUAAGAAACACCUGCAUAAGAUUAAUCGUCACUUACGCGUUAGAAAUGAACAAAUGUUGGGGAAAAAAGCCCAUCGGUGACUUGAACUAUUGUGUAGCUAGUAUGAAUGACAAGCAUCACAUUCAAAAUUUACGGGCUUGUUUGCCUCACAUAUAUUGCUCUUAUUAGUGUUCCAUAUACAUACUACGUGGACUGAGCUAAAGGAUCGGCCCGAGUUAACCCAAUAACUCUGAACAUUUCAUCCUUUCAGGCUUCAUGCUUGGGGGUUGUGAACUGGGCUAUGGUCUCGGUCCAUAUCCUCAUUGUUGCCUAACUCCAAUGGCCAAACUAAAGAACUCAUCAUCCAAGACCUAGAUACUCCUAACUUGGGGAACAAGGCGGAGCCGGCCCUAAGAGAAGAUUUAGAACCAAGCAAAAGACCCUAAAAUUCUCCUAUAUGGGUCACUAGGUAGCCCAAUUCUCAUUCACUUCCUACCCACCUCAUACACAACGCACAAGGCAUCGUCUAACCCCAAUUCUAAGCAAGAACACUAUGCAUGCAUUAACCGAGUGAUUCGCUUCCAGUUGAUAUAAAUAGCCCUUGUUUAUCCUUCUGUUGUUAAGAAGUCGUAAAAUGAACAGUCUUUGACUUACUGAAUUAGGUAUUAACAUGUAUUCAUCAAGUUUUAAUAUCAAAUUUUAAUCGACCGAACUGAAAAUAUCAAGUAAUAGUAGUUAGGAGUACUCACUGUGGUGUACUUGGCUUGCUUGCUGCUCUCACUAGUUGCUGAAACAUCUUCCUUUCAUUUAUUGGGUCCAUCCCUGAUAAAAAAGUCAAAGAAGAUCAUUUGAGUGUUGAGUUCCGUUAAUCCAGAAAGAAUUUACUUCAACAAAUAACCAACCUUGGUUGAUUUCAUCAACAACUCGAAAUGGGCAGUUUGUAAGAUCUUGAAGGGAAACAAGAUAAACAAUUGUUGAAACUGAUCGCUCCUGGAAAACCGAAAUUAAAGGUUAAUUGGUGAACGGAGAACAAGGGGAGCACAAAAGCACUAAAAAGAUAAUCUUUAGUACCCCUCCAGAUUGAUGAUGGGCGCUGAGAACUUUAAGCUGUCCAUUUUCUCUGAUAAAAUAAAAAUAUACUGUAAAACAAAUAAUAAGAGAAACUGGAAUGUAAGGUAUGGGAGAAUAAAUAUUAUGAGGAAAUUCCUUUGGAUUCCUUUGUUUUUAUUAGGAUAUUGGUACCCUUAAAUGAGUAGAAACAUGACAACCACUGCACAUACACCAACUGAAGAUGAUAAUCAAUUACUUUUACCAAUUUUUUGUAACGAUCAUUUUCAUAUUUUCUGAAAUAAAUGAGGCCUACAAUAAUUGAAAAUUUAAAGAGUUUUGUACCAUACACAAACCAUUUGGUUUUUGUAACCUAGAAGCGACCCAAAUUAUGAUGAGAAUCGGAAUCAAGAUAACGAAUUAUUAGCAAUAUUUAAAAGUGCAGAUUACAUUAAUCAUAACAGUCUGACUGAAAUCAAAAACUAUGUAAUCGUUGUAGGUUUGGUUUCCCUCUUAACAUUGAAGUUGACUGCUAACCAGAAGUUACAUCAACCAAAAAUAAGAAUGAACAGUGACCAUUCGUAAGCGUGUUCUUAUGAACAGAAUAAACAAAAUAACUGGUUCAGAACAACCCUCACCUGAAUUUGACUUUUACAAGUAUUCCAAAUUGAUCAAAGUCCAUAUCAUGCUCAUCUGAGGAGUGGAGAAACAUAGGUAAGGAUGGAAGCAUAAGAAGACCAAAUAAAAUUAAUUUCAGUUUACCAUUUGACAUACCUAGUGAAACUUCUCCGGCAACAGCCAUCUGUUGAAAAUUUCGAUUAAAAGUUUCAUUUAUCUGAGCCACAAGAUUUCUGAGAGUUGGAAGCCACUUUUCCUGCAGAAGAACUUAAAAUAUUUGAGCUUUUCUCAAGAACCAGAAACACAAAAGAAGAUCAUGCAGACCACAUACUAUAAAUCACAUUAUAUAUGCAUAGAAAUCAGGACAUAGCAUAUUUCAGGUGUAAAUCCCAAAUUCACAGGAAAUAUAUUAUCUCACUCUUUAACCCCUGAUCUAAAAGAUUAACUCUUCAAGUCAAGUUAUUUUUGAAAUAGCAUCAAUACUACUUCAGCUACAUGCUAACAAUUCUGGACUUGAAUACUGGCUUCUCUCAAUUAGUUCUGAAGAUUUUAUCACGAAGAACUAGCAAGCUUAUUUAAUAGGAUGGAUCAAAUUAUAUCAUAUCAGUACAUUAACUGUAUAGGUCGACCAAUCCAUUUUGGACCUCUUCUCCCUUUCUCUCUAACCUAGAGAAAAAAUAGCUACAAACAUUACAAAUGUAUAUGCAAGCAUACACAUGUUCUGCAAAACACAUAAAAAUAAAAACAUGUUUGUUCUUCUUUGCCUUUCUCUUUUUAGUUUUUACCAUUCCAAACGCAUUUUAUUAAGAAAGAUUGAUCUAUUUAACUCUACACAAAUGAAACUUAGCAAACAGAUGAUUAGGAACUUUGCAAAUUUAUAAUUUUACAUCCACAUACAUAAAUACAAAAAAAAUAUAUAUAUAUUGGGUAUGAAUUUGUUUGCCGAAAUCCAUACAAUCUAAUAACAUUCAGUCAAACAGACAAAAAUUGCUAAAACUAACGUAGGAGAGAGAUUUUCUAAACUAAUCCAAAAUAUUAGUGAAAGUGCGUAUAGAAAAAGAUGACAGGAUGCUGCAAAGAAGAGCUACUAGAAGCAUUCUCUACAUCGUAAAAUUCUAGUUAUGUAAAGAAACACUUUUCAGACCUUAAUGGUUUUCAAUUCUGCAAGACAUUUUGUAGCUUCCACCUUGUCUGUGUCAAGUUUUUUUGCAAGAUCUUCUAUCUGUAUAGUCACUGUAAAUAUAGAGGGCACAUGGAAAUGACCAAAAUAAAUUACAACAAUAAAGAGUACCUGUCUUUGACGAUCCUCAUAUUGUUGCAAUAUGUGAGGAUUCACAAAAAGCAUUGAAUUAGCUUGAGAUGUUGUAUAUUGAAUAGCUUCUUCCAACUCCUCAAUUGUAGUAGGCAUCUACAUUGAAAAACCCAAAUGUGUUUAGAAUUCCCAUUGACUUAGAAGUUACAUUCAUUAUUCGUAGAAUUUUGGGUUGAGUCUAAUAACCUUACAAAACCGGCUUGUAAGGUGAGGGCUUCCUAUUUGGGUCUUCCUAUUGGUGGUGAUCCGAGAAAAUUGGCUUUUUGGUAUCCUCUGGUCGACCGUAUUAAAAGAAGGUUGUCUGAUUGGAAAAGUCGUAAUCUGUCUAUGGGUGGUCGUUUGAUAUUGCUUAAGCCUGUCCUGUCCUCCAUUCCAGUCUAUUUUCUUUCCUUCUUCAAAGCCCCCUCAGGUAUAAUUUCUACCCUUGAAUCUUUAUUUAAUGCAUUUUUUUGGGGGGGAUGUGAGGAUAUUAGGAAAAUUACUUGGAUUAAAUGGGAGACUGUUUGUUCGCGUAAGGGGGAAGGCGGAUUAGGGGUGAGGAGAUUGAGGGAGUUUAAUUUAGCUCUUUUGGGUAAGUGGUGGUGGCGAAUUUUACAAGAGCGUGGCACCCUUUGGUAUCGUGUCCUUUGUGCCCGUUACGGAGAGGAGGGAGGGCGGCUUUGCUGUUCUUGUAGAGAUGGUGGUUCAGUGUGGUGGCAGACUAUUUUAGAUGUUAGGGAUGGUGUAGGUCAGAUUGAUUCAGGUUGGAUGCUGGACAAUAUUUCUCGUCGUGUAGGGAAUGGUUUGUCCACUUUGUUUUGGGUCGACCCUUGGCUGGAGGAGAAACCUUUGAGUUAGCGGAGAAUAAAUUAUACACGGUGGCCGAGUUGUUUGCGAGAGGGUGGGGAGUUAAUGGGAAGCGUGGAAGUAGCGUACGAUACUUUUCGCGUGGGAGGAGGGUUUGUUGGGGGAUUGUAUUACUCGUAUAUCUAAUUUCUCUUUUCAGGGUGACCGUGCAUAUAGUUGGAUUUGGACAUUACAUGAUUCUUCUUGUUACACUGUUAGUUCUGCUUAUUAUUAUUUAACAGACAUGGAGGUUGAUGAGCAUCAUCAGCAUAAUAAUAAUUAAAGGUUCUUAUGGCUGAAAGCGGUGCCUCUUAAAGUAGUAAUUUUUGCUUGGCGCCUGUUCCUCAACCAGAUUCCUACUAGAGACAAACUUUUUCAUCAAAAGGUUUUGCUUGCUUCUGAACAGGGGUGUAUCGCUAAUUGUGGUUUUAAUGAAGACAGAGAUCAUUUACUUCUCACAUGCGGUUUCUUCGCCCGUGUGUGGCAUAUCAUUGCGCUUUGGCUUGGUUACUCAACGGCUUUUCAUUGUCACUUCUUUGAACAUUUUCAUCAUUUUAGUGGUUUGCGUGGGUUCUCUAAGAAAUCGAUUGAGUCCAUGCAGAUUAUUUGGUUUGCGGUAUCUUGGACAAUUUGGAAAGAACGGAAUAACAGAAUUUUCAAAGGAAAGGAGGAUAACUUGCUAAAGCUAGGUGAAAGGGCAAAGCUUCAAUCUUUUUGGUGGUUGAAAUCGAAAUACACUAACUUUGAUUUUGACUAUCACGAAUGGCGGCGGAGUCCUCUAACUUGCUUAAACAUUAUUUUCUAGCUUGUUGUUUCUUUGUUUCACUUUGUUUCUGCGCCUUUUGGCUUGUACAGGAUUGUUUUGUGUACUCAUUGUGGCUAGGCGUUUUGGCACGCCUUGUGCUUUAGCGUCUAGGUUUAUUCAAUAUAUAUUCCAUUUUGGCUUUUUCAAAAAAAAAAUUAUAUAUAUUAAGAUUAAUAUUGUCCUAUUACGACUUUCAUUGACAUUUUAAAAAAAGAUGAUAUGGCCAUGGUGAUUAACAUUCCUAAACAAAAAAUUUAAAUUGAAAUAGUACAUGAUGAUGAGUUCACUCAAUUAAACAUAUAUCAAAAGUUAAACUUAUCACCAGCUUACAGCCACUUUACUUUACAAACUGAUCUAUAUCCAUGGUAUAUAUUUGUUUCUUUAUUUCAGUCCUUUAUAACAUGCACUCGUAUUUCAUUCCUUAACCUCGACUGAAUUAAUUGAUACACAUUCUUUUUCGAAACAAUGCUAUUCACAGUGCUUAGAUUUUGAAAAACUCACAAACUAAGAAUUUGAGCUUUGCAAAUAUAGAAAAAAGGUGUAAGUGCAAUAAAUUGCAAGUGCUUUAUCAAAUAAACCCUACUUUUAUUGACUAAAGGCAAUUAACCACACAAGUACUUUUGAAUUACAAGGAACAAAAGGCAUGUCAUGUUAACUAAAUAAUAUGUCUUUGGUAUUAAUUAAGCUAAUUAGUAAUUAGAUAAUUCAUUGAAGAUUAUUAUGUUCUAUUAGAGUUGGUCCAACAUCCUAUAUCUAUUGGAUCACACUUAUCAGAGAUUUCAGUUGCUAUGUAGCUCAUGCUUUUUGUAUAUAUAACUGCAUCAAGGAAUAAAAAAAAUGGAUAUAUGUUGAAAUUAGAGGUUGUUGCUAAUAAAAAUUGAUCAAUACUUGUUCUAUUGAAUUGAUAUGCUUGUCAUCAAUAGGAAACUGCAUUAUUAUGUCUUUAAAUUUUGGCACAUAUGUUGUGCUUUCAAACCACAUCUACCACAAAACAUAUGUAGCUGGUUGUAAUUUGUGGCAUGCCUAAAUUUUUUUUUUUUUUUUUUUUUUUGGUGUUGUAACAAAAAACAUAUAUUAUGUCCUGGAAUGUUUAUAUAUAUAUAGCCGAGUAGUCCCAUUAUCCUUAAUCUUAGUUAUCUAAUUCUCUUUUCUCUCUUUACCUAAUCCUUGUGAUUUCAACAUAGUACCAAAGCCAUAUUAAAUUCAUAUUUUGUUAAAAAAAAAAUCUACUUUUUUAAAGAUUUUUACAAUAUUCUACACAUUUCUGCAUAAUUUCAUUAAAAAAAAUACAAAUAUUACUCAUGAAUUGACUUAAAAAUUGGCACCAAAAGUGGAAAUUGAAAAUCUUAUAAAGACUAAAAGUUGAAAAAAAUAAAUUAAAGGAACUAAAACGAAAAAAUUGAUAUAUUUAUUGAGACAAAAAAAUAUUUAACUUUUCAAAGAAUGUCUCUCCUCCUUUGUUUGGACUCUUUAUUAAUUAAAGGUGAUUUUAUAAACUUCAGAUGUUUCUCUUGUUGUUUUGAGAUCUGCCAUUAAGCACCAUGUUUGGAUUGCCUUUUUUCCUUCUGAUAUUUAUUGGUUCUAUUGUGGUUUUGCUUAGCUCUCUAUUUUUUGUUUUACCAUUGUGGCUUUUGCAUUAGCACCUUAUUCUUAUUUUUGUUUGUUUAAAGGAAUGAUCAAUAUAAAUGCUUCCGGUUGUUAUACUUAUGGUAGCUUUUAUUUAUAGAUAUUUAUAAUUAAUUUAUAGAAAUAUAUAUAUAUAUAUAUAUAUAUAUAUAUAUAUAUAUAUCAAGGAUUAAUUACAGAUGAAUAAAAGACAAGCGAACAAUAAGUUGCGCCAUUAGAUCUUUAAGGAAGGCAAAACUAAUCCUCGUGAACACGACAUUCAUGAAUCUAGGAGACGUGACAUUGUUAUACAUGACCAUUUGAACUCUAUAUAGAUCAACAACAUCUGGUGCUAGGAAGUCAAAAGUGUCAAACGUAAAUGGAAUAAAAAUAUCUUGAUUGUCAAAAACAUGUUUUUUUUUCAUGUUUGGUCACUAUGACGCAUCUUUUAGGAUUGUCUGUCAUACUUUAAAACCCCUGACCUCUAAUCCCAUAAGUGAUGAAACCCCAAUCAAAUAAAAAUAAGAGAAAUGAAUGAAAACAUAAUUGCAAUAAUUAAUAGAAUAGUUUAGAAAUUACAAAGCAAGAUUACAAUAUAUCAAGGAGAGGAGUGGGCUCUAAUUGCAGUACUCAAUCAAAAUGUUCCUGAAAUUUCAAUUAUCCACGAACUAACUCUCAUUCUCAUCAAUGGAAUGGAUGAGGGGUUGUGAGGUCUCAAGUGGUUGCUAACGGUUAAGCAAAUCACUCAAAGCGUAGAUCAUGCAUCCCACUACCGUAGGCUUGAAAAAAUUCUCACGACGUCACAAAUACAUGGUUUAGCACAAAUACAUGGUUUAGGAAUAUAUAUUGUAUAAAACCCAUAUAAAACACUAAUAAGUUUCAUUUCGAUAAAUGCUAUUUGAAAGUUAAACUAAAAACAACUUAGUUUGCAUGACUUACGUAAACUGAGUUUAUGUAUACUUAUUCGUUUCUUCAGUUUAUGAGGUUUACCGUUUACGUGAAUUGAAUUGUUUAUAAUAUAGUACAUACAAGUACGUAAACUCAAUUUACAUACACUAUAGUAAAUCCAGUUUACAUGAUUUACAUAGACUAAGUUCACCUAGACUUAGUUUAUUGAAUAAUACAAUGAUCAUUUGUUUUAUUUUAAUCAUUUUAAGGUGUAAUCAAUUUUUUUAGGUAUGACUAGAAAAAAAUCUAAACAUAACUAGUAGAUCAAAUUUUAAAAAUUCAAAACUCACUAAGUCAUUAACCCAUAGAUUCAUUUUUGUUACUGUAGCAUACAACUAGCAUGUGCAAUUAAACAGACAAUCAGCCAUAAUCGAUUAGAGAAAAAUAAUAACGCAGAGAAUAAAUAUCACACACAACUAGUUUUAGUUGAAAAUUUUCCUUCAAUAUGUGAAAAUAAAAAUCACGGAACAUAGUCCGGUUAAACCUUCAUUAUAAGCAAUAAUAAUAAAAGUCAUAGAACCUAGUCUUCUUCAACGGACCAGAGGUCGAAUGGUGGAACCCGGCGGUGUGUUUCGAGAAGUUUUUUCUUUUUUUUUUUUCUUCUUUUUCGGGUGUUUAAUUGUACUUGGCGGUGGUGAUGAGAAGUUGAAGUUAUGUUUUCAUGGAUUUUGAUUGGUUUGAUAGUUUUUGAAGGGUUUUAUGUUGAUCGGUGAAAGAUGUCUUUUGCGGGGAAGUGUGGAGGUUUGAAUUUGAUUUAGAUGUUUACUUUAUUUUCUUAUGACUAGUUUUUUUAUUGGUGUUUGUGGAAUUUUUUUUUUUUCUUCUGAGAGAUGAUGUUUGAGAAAGUUAGUUGGUGUUUUUAUUGUUUUCCUUUUGAGUGUUUCGCCUCUAUGGGCCCGUUUGUUAUAAAGAUUCUAAAAAAAUAAAUUUUCCUUUGUAUUUUUAAAAAUAAAUUUUUUGGAAAUAUACUCAAAAAUAGUAUAAGUUAUUUCAAAUUCAUUUGUUAUAAGUUAAAAAAAGAUAUUUUAACAUUCACCAACCUAAAUAUUCAUUGUUCGAGAUUUUACAUAGUAAAAAUCGAAUAUUUUUUCAAAACAAUAUAUUUCAAAAAUGAUUUUUAUGAAAAGACAUUUGAAAUAGCUUUUAUUUUAGAGAUUUUUUCAAAAUUUUAGUAUCCAAAAAAAUUAUAACAAAAUGAUAAAAUAUCUAGAAUGACAUUUUAAGAUAAACUAUUCAAACCAAUUUUUUAUUUGAAGCUUUCCUUAAAAUUUUCUUUGUUAAAUUUUUUUUAACAAAAAUAUGUUACACUACAAGAAUAUAUUUUAUAAAAAAGGUAUAACAAACGGAUAUAUGACGCAUUUGUUUUUGAGUUUAUGUCAGGCAAUCUCUAUUCAUCUUAUAUAAGAUUUGAUUAUUAAUAAAUUUUACCCUAAAAAAGAAUACACAAUAUUCUUUGAAGUAAACAGUAGAGAUCAACAAACAUCACCAAUUAUAAAAAUCAACAACAAAACAACUUUUUCAUAAGAAUUGAUAAACCAACCAAUCUAUAAAAACCCAUAAAUAAAAAAAACAAAAACAAAAACUAACUAAGCCAUAAGAAUCUAAAACUUCUUCUCUCUAUAGGUUUGCCGCCGCUGCAUUAUUCUUUUUCUUUCUCGUGAUGCUACAGUUCUUCUUGGCUUCAUGCGACAACAUGGUAGCAUGGCAAAAUCCAAUAAACAAACUAACCAAACAUAAUAAAAAAUAAAAACUUAUUAUUCAAUUCACCGCUAAAUACAAAAAUUAAUGAAUUACUUUAUCUGCAACUUAGUUUAAACUAAAAAAAUAUAUAUAUCGUAAAAUCAAAACCAAAAGUAUAGUCAAUAUAAUGAAAAGCACCUAAAAAACACCUAAAUAUAAGGAAAACUGACUCAUACUUUUUUGUAUGGUUUUUAGCUAAAUUCACCAUAAUUUCAUCCAAUAUAAAUAUAUUUUAAAGCAAAAAGGAAACUUUUUAUGCAUUUAUUACACAAUUUAUACAUUGAUUACACAACUUUUAAUAUAAAAUACUACCUGAUUUGACUCUUAACGAAGCACUGAUUGAAGUGUUUUAUUUUCUCGCCGGUCAUUUUCACUUGGUUCGUAUACAGGAAACUUACUUCAGCAAUUUGAAGCAAAACUCCAAAAACCAAAGUUACAAAUAUCACCAAAAGUCAAAGUCAUCUAAUUGAAACUUGGUACUCUUGUUAUGGCAGCCGCGCAGCCCAUAUCAAAUUGGCAAGUGGGAUUACUUGAUCAAUCUAUGCAUAUAAUAGAUACACUCAGUUAUGUUUGUUCAUUAACCAAAAUGAUGAAAUUAUAUCAAUUUGAAUUUUUCUUAUUCCUUCUUAUCAUUGUCAAUACAACCCUUUCCAGUUCUUUCCCUACACUCUCUCAAUUUGCGAAACCAUUGGAGUAUAUUAAGAAAACAACGGAAGCUGCUGACUAUAUAUGGGAUAAGAAAAUAAAGAAGUUGGUCGAGGACUUAAAAGACAAGAACUUGAAAAAUAUCAAACCGUCCCUUCCAUCACAAUUACCAAAAUACAAAGGUGUAGAUCAAAUCAAACAAUAUUUGUCCGAUUUCGGCUACCUCGAACAAUCUGGGCCGUUCAAUAACACUCUAGACCAAGAAACAGUCUUAGCCCUUAAGACCUACCAACGAUAUUUCAAUAUCCAACAAGAUACUCUCA